UACGUAGGGUGCAAGCGUUGUCCGGAAUUAUUGGGCGUAAAGGGCUCGUAGGCGGUCUGUCGCGUCGGUAGUGAAAACUCAGGGCUUAACCCUGAGCCUGCUUCCGAUACGGGCAGACUAGAGGUAUGCAGGGGAGAAUGGAAUUCCUGGUGUAGCGGUGAAAUGCGCAGAUAUCAGGAGGAACACCGGUGGCGAAGGCGGUUCUCUGGGCAUUACCUGACGCUGAGGAGCGAAAGUGUGGGGAGCGAACAGG
RNAcentral lists this ribosomal RNA (253 nucleotides) under uncultured bacterium. RNAcentral describes it as "partial 16S ribosomal RNA". It matches the Rfam family "Bacterial small subunit ribosomal RNA", at positions 524 to 776 of the family's 1533-position model. The record is from RNAcentral.